UUGGCGGUGUAGUCCCAGAUCCGCUCCUCGUCGGUGAGCGACUUCUCGCCGAACGCCUCCCCGUCGGCGAGCACCCCCAGGUUGACCGGGUCGCCGUAGUUGCCGACGCCGACCUUGUUCACCUUGCCGUGCGCGAUCACGUACACGUGGUCGGCGACCGAGCCGAACUCGACGAUCACCUGACCGGGCUGGUACUCCUGCUGCACGAACUUGUCGGCCAUGGCGGCCAGCACGUCCGCGUCGUCGAACUCGCUGAGCACCGAGAGUUCCCGCAGCUCGGCCGGGACGACCCGGACCUGCGCACCGACGUUGGUGAAGCUCAGCCGGCCGUCGCCGAUCCGAUAAGUCAUCCGCCGGUUCACCCGAUACGCCCCACCGGCGACCUGAACCCAGGGAAGCUUACGGAGCAGCCAUCGCGAAGUGAUCUCCUGCAUCUGCGGCGCGGUCUUGGUGGUGGUCGUGAGGUUGCGGGCCGCCGCCGUGCUCAGGCUCUGCCGCUGCUCUUCGU
RNAcentral lists this antisense RNA (508 nucleotides) under Actinoplanes sp. SE50/110. RNAcentral describes it as "Saccharopolyspora sRNA 350". It matches the Rfam family "Saccharopolyspora sRNA 350". The record is from Rfam by way of RNAcentral. Lineage: Bacteria; Bacillati; Actinomycetota; Actinomycetes; Micromonosporales; Micromonosporaceae.